UACGGGGGGGGCAAGCGUUGUUCGGAAUUACUGGGCGUAAAGGGCUCGUAGGCGGCCAACUAAGUCAGACGUGAAAUCCCUCAGCUUAACUGGGGAACUGCGUCUGAUACUGGAUGGCUUGGAUUCGGGAGAGGAAUGCGGAAUUCCAGGUGUAGCGGUGAAAUGCGUAGAGAUGUGGAGGAACACCGAUGGCGAAGGCAGCCCCCUGGGCUAACACUGACGCUCAGGCACGAAAGCGUGGGGAGCAAACAGG
Molecule: ribosomal RNA, 253 nt
Filed under: uncultured bacterium
Lineage: Bacteria
Description: partial 16S ribosomal RNA
Rfam family: Bacterial small subunit ribosomal RNA
Source: RNAcentral